This 520-nucleotide unclassified non-coding RNA is filed under the name uncultured Glomus. RNAcentral's name for it is "SSU rRNA". It matches the Rfam family "Eukaryotic small subunit ribosomal RNA", at positions 569 to 1091 of the family's 1831-position model. Lineage: Eukaryota; Fungi; Glomeromycota; Glomeromycetes; Glomerales; Glomeraceae. The record is from RNAcentral.
AGCAGCCGCGGUAAUUCCAGCUCCAAUAGCGUAUAUUAAAGUUGCUGCAGUUAAAAAGCUCGUAGUUGAAUUUCGGGAUCAAUAUGUUGGUCGUGCCUCGGUACGUACUAGCUUAUUGGUUUCUCCCUUCUGACGAACCAUGAUGUCAUUUAUUUGGUGUUAUGGGAAAUCAGGACUGUUACUUUGAAAAAAUUAGAGUGUUUAAAGCAGGCUCACGCUUGAAUACAUUAGCAUGGAAUAAUGAAAUAGGACGUUUGAUUCUAUUUUGUUGGUUUCUAGGAUCGACGUAAUGAUUAAUAGGGAUAGUUGGGGGCAUUAGUAUUCAAUUGUCAGAGGUGAAAUUCUUGGAUUUAUUGAAGACUAACUACUGCGAAAGCAUUUUGCCAAGGAUGUUUUCAUUAAUCAAGAACGAAAGUUAGGGGAUCGAAGACGAUCAGAUACCGUCGUAGUCUUAACCAUAAACUAUGCCGACUAGGGAUCGGAUGAUGUUAAUUUUUUAAUGACUCAUUCGGCGCCUUAC